GUUUGUGUAAUGGAUCAGCUGGUUUAAAUGUAUGGAUUUCCCCUUAUCCGAUCACAACUGCAGGGAGACUGACACAUCUAUGCUUUGAAUAAUAUCAGACCUUGCUGCUUGCAGUGGGGAACAGCUGCCUUGGGGCUGCACGGAGGAGGAAGAUGCCUCAGAAGCUUUGUCCUCCCCGAAACGUUCCCCACUGGGCCACGGGCUGCAGAAAGCUGGGCCACAAAUUGGGCUCCACGCCACGGUGAGGUGUCAGGAAUCCUCCAAAGGUGGCCCCUUGUUCUGUCACCGCCGCGCUUGUUCCUCGGGAGAACCACAGUAACUCUGACCCUGCUGCCCUCACCACAGAGCCUCUCUUCCCAUCUCCCUGCUCUAUCCUUUCAUCACUGUGAUGCCUAAAAAUCACCAGCUGGAGUGGUUCUGAGAGCCAGAGAGGGCUUUCUGGGGAAUAACUGGAGUGCUAUUCCAGCAUCAUGAGGCAUCCCGGCCUCUCCUGCAGCCACAACGGGAGCAUUUUCUGCAGUGAGAGCAAAAUAAACAUCAAGACUCUUUAAAAGAGAGUCUGGAGGGUUGAGUGCAAUUAUCGGGCCAAACUCCUUUGCCUUGAGUGUUAUCUAUCACUCUGUAGUUUCCUUCCUCAUAGAAAGGUGGAUAUUAAAUUCUACUUUUCUUAUGGCCAUAAAAAAAAAAGUAAUUUUCUCCAAAUUAUUUCUUCCAGACCUGCUAAAAACAAGAAUCAUAAUGCAGCAGGACCCCCAUCUUCCCAGUAAUUACACUCUGCCUCCUAACUCCUUCAACACCAAUUUCUCAAUUUAUUUGGCUUCCAUCUGGAACCACAGUCACAGGCAGAGCUGGGCUCUGUCUUAUUAUUACACGGACAAAAUUGUUUUUAAAAUGUAAUUAAACAUUUACCUUGAAGACAAUGCUUUGUCUUCUUUAAGAAGCAUAAUAUCUUAAUUUAACCUAAUCUAGAAAACCUUCCAUUUCUGAGCUUUUACCUCCAAGACAAUGUUAUGCUAAACACAAAGCAAAACAAAAAG
Neopelma chrysocephalum (saffron-crested tyrant-manakin) is the source of this 1037-nucleotide long non-coding RNA. RefSeq lists it as uncharacterized. NCBI's taxonomy places the organism in Eukaryota, Metazoa, Chordata, Aves, Passeriformes, Pipridae. The record is from RefSeq and is a predicted model, not a curated record. The transcript has 3 exons.